CACAGAGGAUCAGCAGAAUCUCCCUGAGGCCAGCCCCUCCUGAGCAAAGCAUAGCUUCAGCUCGCCCUCUGAGACCAGUGUUAACCAAGCUGGAAGCACAUCAGCUACUGUCCCGAAGAAAUGUUUGUGGAAGAUUUCUAAAAACGCAUUUCUGCCUCAGCAAAUUAUCUCCAAGAACACAGUGAGUAUGAAGAUAAGUAAGGGAGAGAAAUGAAUGAGAAACUAAAUUGAUUACUCCUGAGAUGGCUGGUGCCAAUGGCUUGCUCUGGGUAUAAAGAAGAGAUUUCACCACAAGCUUCUCCCCAGAGGUGGAAGGGGCAGAUCAGGUUGCUUUUCACUCCUGCCCCGCCCUGAGGAAUGGACUCAGUGACACUGCAGGCCUUUCUCUCCCCUGAUAUCUUUGAGUCAAGGCGCCGUGUUGACCAAGUGUGUCAGAUAAAGGACUACAAAAGUAUUGUCCAAAUUGCCCAGGGAGGAUGUGGCCAACAUUCCUAGGUGUGUUUGCAAAAAUGGCUGAGAGACUAGGUGCAAAGUGAGGGAUGCUGGCAAAGCACGCCUGUAUUUGGAGACCAGUGGUUCUCUCCGGCCACAGGUACUUCUGAUGAAUCUCUUCCAACAGAGUAAUACACACACCUUCAAACUUAACUGCAGAGGAAGAAUCCUACGCUCAAAACCGCACAGAAUGAGUCCUAUCCAGAAACAAAAUAUGCUGAAAUUCAAGAACCCGACCUGAAUAACUGCCUGUGUGACUCGUCAAAGCUGAGCCCCCUCCACAGAGUGAGCCGGGCCCGUCACGUGGUGCCCUGCAGCCUGGGUGGAGCAUCCUGACCCCUUCACUGGAAAAAUGCGGGAAGGGCCUGUCCCCUCUCAGCUCCCCUGACUGCGCUCUGGGUCUUUCCGACUCUGUAAAAGACAAUCAAAUAAAAAUGCUAUUUUCCCAUAAUCAGAAAAUAUUCUCCAUUUGGACUUUUCCCAGGACCUUAAAUUUAAACUGUUGAAAUUCUUUAUUACAUGCUUCCCUUGUCACCGACAUUUUGAAAUGGAGAAUUUACCUUUAUGGAAAAUCUGCAUUUUAUUAAAUGAUUGGUAAAAGUCAAGUCUUUAGUUAACUCUCAAAAGAAACAAAUUUUUGCUUUGUAAUGUAUGUGUAUAUAUAUAAUAUAUAAUAAUAUAUAAUAUAUAUGUUAUAUACAAUAAUAUAUAAUAAUAUACACAUAUAUAUGUAUAUACAGCAGCAAAUGUAGUCUAAGAAAGGGAAGACGAGACAUAUUGACAUAUGGAUCAUGCACCUUUAAAGAUGCCUCUGUAUUAGGAUUCCGAG
This 1321-nucleotide long non-coding RNA is filed under the name Equus caballus (horse). RNAcentral describes it as "lncRNA (ENSECAG00000039813.3)". The record is from RNAcentral. Lineage: Eukaryota; Metazoa; Chordata; Mammalia; Perissodactyla; Equidae.